GUGGUAAUGCCGGAUGCUCCGACUCCUCGCAUGGGGUGUCGGGAAAGAUUUCAUCGGUAUGGGAUGGGGUCGCGUCCUAUCAGGUAGUCGGCGGGGUAACGGCCCACCGAGCCUACGACGGGUAGCCGGCCUGAGAGGGCGACCGGCCACAUUGGGACUGAGAUACGGCCCAGACUCCUACGGGAGGCAGCAGUGGGGAAUAUUGCACAAUGGGCGCAAGCCUGAUGCAGCGACGCCGCGUGCGGGAUGACGGCCUUCGGGUUGUAAACCGCUUUUGAUCGGGAGCAAGCCUUCGGGUGAGUGUACCUUUCGAAUAAGCACCGGCUAACUACGUGCCAGCAGCCGCGGUAAUACGUAGGGUGCAAGCGUUAUCCGGAAUUAUUGGGCGUAAAGGGCUCGUAGGCGGUUCGUCGCGUCCGGUGUGAAAGUCCAUCGCUUAACGGUGGAUCUGCGCCGGGUACGGGCGGGCUGGAGUGCGGUAGGGGAGACUGGAAUUCCCGGUGUAACGGUGGAAUGUGUAGAUAUCGGGAAA
Molecule: ribosomal RNA, 532 nt
Filed under: Bifidobacterium pseudocatenulatum
Lineage: Bacteria; Bacillati; Actinomycetota; Actinomycetes; Bifidobacteriales; Bifidobacteriaceae
Description: bacterial SSU rRNA
Rfam family: Bacterial small subunit ribosomal RNA
Source: RNAcentral